CCUCCUCCUAUGCCAGGUGUGGUGACUCCAUGGCCUCCAUGAUGGACCAGUCUAAACAGUGGGACUACUACCCUCCAGGACCGGGACCAGGACCAGGACCCAGACGGGAGGACAAGAGGGAGAAGGAGAGAGAGAGACCCAGGGAGAGACCACAUGAGAGGGAGAGAGAGCGAGAGCACAGCCCCUCCACUAUGGCUUACAACAGUGACGAGGAGCGGUACCGUGGUUACCGGGAGUACCAAGCGGAGCGUGGCUACAGCGGCGGUGACCGCGGAGGAGGUGACCGUGGAGGGGGGGAGCGUGGCGGAGUAGACCGCGGAGGUGACCGUGGAGGGGGGGAGCGUGGCGGUGACCGUGGGAGUGGUGGUGAGCGUGGUGGUGGAGGCGGCGAGCGCCACAGAGACAGGUCGAGCCGUGAGAAGGAGGAGAGACACAGAGAGAGAAGACACAGAGAGAAGGAGGAGGGGAGACACAAGUCAUCACGCAGUAGCAGCAGGAGGAGACAUGAUAGUGAAGAAGGAGACGGUCACAGGAGACACAAACACAAGAAGAGCAAGAGGAGCAAUGGGAGGGCAAGGAACCCAGUGAUGACAUGGGAGGAGACCAGGAGAACCAGGACCACCAUGGAGUGAUGAAGAGAACACCCUCCUCUCCCUCUGUCCCUCUUCAUCUCUCUCUCUCUGUCUACAUGGGAGGAGACCAGGAGAACCAGGACACCAUGGAGUGAUGAAGAGAACACCCUCCUCUCCCUCUUCCCUCCAUCUCCCUCUGUCC
This is a long non-coding RNA of Oncorhynchus tshawytscha (Chinook salmon), 774 nucleotides long. The record is from Ensembl. NCBI's taxonomy places the organism in Eukaryota, Metazoa, Chordata, Actinopteri, Salmoniformes, Salmonidae.